Molecule: ribosomal RNA, 250 nt
Filed under: uncultured bacterium
Lineage: Bacteria
Description: partial 16S ribosomal RNA
Rfam family: Bacterial small subunit ribosomal RNA
Source: RNAcentral
UACAGAGGGUGCGAGCGUUAAUCGGAAUUACUGGGCGUAAAGCGUGCGCAGGCGGUGAUGUAAGACCGAUGUGAAAUCCCCGGGCUUAACCUGGGAACUGCAUUGGUGACUGCAUUGCUGGAGUAUGGCAGAGGGGGGUGGAAUUCCACGUGUAGCAGUGAAAUGCGUAGAGAUGUGGAGGAACACCGAUGGCGAAGGCAGCCCCCUGGGCCAAUACUGACGCUCAUGCACGAAAGCGUGGGGAGCAAAC